This is a non-coding RNA of Triticum urartu, 5405 nucleotides long. The record is from RefSeq and is a predicted model, not a curated record. NCBI's taxonomy places the organism in Eukaryota, Viridiplantae, Streptophyta, Magnoliopsida, Poales, Poaceae.
GCGACAACAAAACGUCUAGCGCUUAAUUGUGCUAGUCGUGCGCUUAAGCACGCCUAGGCGUGCACUUAGGCUAGAUAAGCGCUAUGCGUGGCGAAACGCACAAUUAACACCUAUCGCUUUCUUUAUCCUUCUAUCUACUUCUGAGUCAGUCACACACAACCUAGGACAUUAUAAAAACCCUUGUAUAUUGUCUUACCCUAGUGCCCUCUGCAGUUGUGAAGUACUCCCCACUUUUGCCAAGAGGUCCGGGGUCCGACGCCGUCUCUCUGCAUUGCACUGUGUAGCGGAGCUUGCCUCGUGUGAUCCUUCCCGAGACCCCAUCUGGCGUGGGACCCUCAGGCACUGGGUCUGUCCUUUUUCUUAGUACUUCCUUGCACGCUUCCAAUUCAGCUUCAAGUGCAUUAUCACAUAUGAAGAGCUGCCUACAGGCCGUGUAGAUAAUCUCACCGGCAGAGUCACGAAGGACCAUGCCACAGCCAGCGGAGCCGUCAGUGGCGAAAUAGCUGCCGUCCGUGUUGAGUUUGGCCCAUCCAUCCGGCAGCCGCACCCAGCGCAAGUCCUCUCCUGUAUUAGCUCCCAGGCUGCGUGUGAGGUUUCGAACCGAGUCGUUCGCUGUCCACCCGGAGAACCAUUUUGCCUUUGGUCGGAUCAUCUUGAGGGAACUGCUUGAGACACAACAGCAAGUUUAUGUAGCUGUUGAGAAACCGUCGGGAUGCUUCAGUCGGAGGCGGUGCUUAUCAUGUGUGAUCUCAUUCCGGGCAUGUCAGGUGUGCUAAAGGACCAUCAACAGUACCAUGCGGCUGGCUUCUGACAACUGAUCCUACACGCCGAAUAGUCAUUCCGGCCACUUUUUGCGGACAUCCUCGACCACAGUCCUUAGCCCGCGGGCAUCUGCACAUAGCAUGGUAACCAUUCCCGCGUUCCACAUGGGCAGAUCAUUAGAUUCCAAAUUGCGAGAGAAUUUAUUGGCCCAAGUGGCAAGAGAAUUUGAGACCAGCCACCAGGCAAGUACGCAUACCUUAGGGGGAGUAGGGCACCCCCAUAUGGUCUUCCAGGUAACGCGAUGACCAUCCGUUGCCCUACUCGAAGCACUUGCCAACGGACGCUCAUGCUCGUCCAUGGCAAAAGUGUUAUGCUGAACGAAUUGAGAAGACACCGGAUUUCUUCGGGGCCAAGGCGAGGACGUCACCGGGGACACGUGGAGAGGUAUUGAUGCGGAUGAUAGCGUCGACGUCGACCGAGAGGAAGUGGAAGAACAUCCACCCGCCAGGCGCCAUUGGCAUCCAGCAGGUCUGCGUCGUGUCUUAGCCGCCGCGUCCUAGCCAGCAUGUCCCUUGGGGCCUGAGGAGCUCGCCCGACGGCUCGCGUGGCAGCCACCCGAUCCCUCUAGAUGUGGAUUUGCGCUCUGCUGCCCACCCGCCAAAUCAGCCCCAUUUUCAGCAGCUCCAAUCCAUACUGGAUCGCUUGCCAUGUGACCGAUGCAUUACUGAAAAGACAGUAUCCGCCAGCUGCCCCUUUGGAUAAUAUCGAGCUUUUAAAACCUGCGCACAGACUCUCGGGUUUGGUUAGAAGUCUCCAAGCUUGCGAGCUAGCAGUGCUUGGUUGAACACUGUGAAGUCACGGAAUCCGAAACCAUCAUUGAGUUUAUGCUUCUAGAUUUUAGGCCAAGCCUGCUAGUGUGUUUUUUUGCUUCCCCUCUGACGAUCCCCACUAGAAGUUACGUACCAUCUUGCUAAGAGCAUCUCUAAUAGAAGAUGCAAAUUUGGAGAUGUAAAACAGGAGAUGUUAAAAUUUACAUCUCCAAAAAGUGCUUUUUGCAUUUCCAUAAAAGGGCCAACUCCAACAGAUGAUGCAAAACGGAGAUCUAAAAGUGCAACUCCAAUAGGUGAUGCAAACUGGAGAUGUAAGAGUUAGAAACUUCAAAUACUACUUCAUUUCAAACAUAAUUCAAACAUAGUUUGUUCAACUAGUACUUCAUUUCAAACAUAAUUAAACAUAGUUCUAAUUAAAACACAAUUAAACAUAAUUCUAAUUUGAAGGGCUACUAGUUCAAACCACUACAUCCAUCAAACUACUACUCCAACGACUACUACUAGUUCACACAACUACUACUCGAAGAUGAAACUACUCCUUGACUCCUCGUCGGAGCUCUUGAACUGUUCCCAGAACUCGUCCUUGUCCGGUGGAUGUAAACUUCCAGCAGCUUUUCCUCCAGGUCCUUGUAGUGGGUGUCUUCGCCGUCUUGUCCGUUGGAUGUAGUUGCCCUGUGGCUUCCCUCUAAGUACCUAAUCACACAUAGGGUCUCCGUUUGAGGUAGUAGCCAUGUCUCACAUGUAGAAAGUGGUAGUUCGGAGAGGAGCGAGUUCACCUUGGAUUCGAUAGCCCUUGCUCGAGCUCUUGUCAUUGGUCCACGUGGUGUCGUGGGAGACGAAGGUAGGUCCAUGGGGAUGACCGUAGGAUGCUCCGCAUCAAUACUGCAUUUGGCUGGGUCAGUAAGUUGAGUAGUAGCGCCUUCAUAAGCCAUGAUGAUAGAAUGGACCUUCUCCGCUUGUUGUGCUUCUGCCUUAAAGAAGAGCAAUGUAUCAUUGGCGAACAAGAAGUGGGAGAUACCAAGAGCACGCCGGUAUACCUUCAGGGAAGUAAAAUUUCCUUUAACUCACCAUCCUGUAACAAGGCAGAAAGUCCAUGAGCAAUAAACAGGAAUGAGAACGGAGAGAGAGGGUCACCUUGCUGUAGCCCACGCGACGGCGCGAACGAAUCCAAGAGGGUGCCAUUAAAUUUGACAGUGUAUCUAACCGAGGUGACACAAGUAGGAGUAUAAUCCAGUUCAUCCAUCGGUCAACGAAACCCAACUUUUGCAUCGUCCACUUCAAGAAAACCUAAUUAACCUGAUCAUUUGCCUUUGAGUGGCCCACAGCAUAUAGGCGCAGAAACUCUGCUGGAUCCUUCUCCUGCUGGAUAUGAUGUAUGCAGUCAAACGCAACCAACACAUUAUCUGUUAUCGUUCUUCCUGGCACAAGAACACUUUGUACUGGCGAUAUGAUCUCAUCAAGAAUUGGCCUCAACCUGUUAACUAAGCACUUCGACACCACCUUAUAAAUGACUGAAAUCAGUGAGUUUUACCGGAUUAUCAACUUUUGGGAUGAGGACAAUGGCAUUGUUAUUCACCCUUUCAGGCACAACUCCUGACCGGAAAAAUUGCUUAACACCAGCAAUUGCUUGGUCCUUCAUUAUUGCCCAGUUUCUCUGAAACAUCCCGCCGGAAAUCCAUCUGGUCCAGGGGCUUUGAGCGGGCCUAUCUGGAAAAGUGCGUCAGCAAUCUCCUUAUCAGAAAGCUCUGCACACAGACCUUCAUUCAUAUUGUCAGUAACACGCAUUGAUAAGGUCAAUUACACACAGCGCUGGAUCAGCAGUAAACAAAUUUAUGAAGUAAUCUGUCUCCAUAUUAGCCAUGAUGGCGCUGUCCUGCUGCACCACGCCACUAUCAUCAAGGGAUUUUAUCCUGUUUCCGCGCACGCGACACCACCUACUUGAUCUGCACACAGUGCCGGAUCUGUAGCUUCCCGAAUAGUCCUCUGAUCUGCGUUCAUAGCCAUUAGUUCCUCAAGACGAGUAUGGGAUUUAUGAAUUUCUUUUUCCUUCACCCAUGCAAUGCGUGCAUGAGCUCGCCUAGCGCCGCCGCCACGUCACCAAGGUUGCCCAUGGCACCGGCCGCUGACCAGGCUUGCAUGAUCACCUCGGGCAGCGCUGGGUCACGCUUCCAAGCAACUUCAUAGUGGCGGCACCUCUUACCCACAUUCUCCUGUUGUAACUUGGCCAAGCACCUUAGGAGGAUCGGUGCAUGGUCUGACAAAGGAGCAACCAGGUGCUUAACACCUGCCUCCAAGACAAGUCAUGCCAUUGGUUGUUUGCCACUGCCUGGUCGAGCCGAACUUUGACGUUUGCUCGGCUGGAUCGCUGGUUAUCAUAAGUGUAUGGCAGACCUGAAAAACCAAGACCACCGAGACCACAUAACUCCAAAACAUCACGAAAGUUAAUCAUCUGACCUGCCGAGCGAGGAGUCUCGGAGAAAUGUUUGAAGCCCCACAUGGCCUCGUUGAAAUCUGCAAUCACUGCUCACGGCAUGUCCGCUUAGUGGUGAAGAUGACUGAGAAGUGACCACAUGCGAUGUCGGUCCUCCGUCUGGGGCUCGCCGUAGAUGCGGGUGAGCCUCCAAGGAGUAAGGAUCAAUAUAUCGUACAUCCAUAGCCUUCACAUUGUCUUGGCAUAAAUUCAUGCCAGAAAAGAGCUAAAGCUCCACUAAGACCAUUUAGUCCUUCGAAACCACUUAAACCUAGAUGAGAUUGAUAUCUUCUCAUCCUAUCUUUCGACUACCUAGUUUCACAAAGAAAAAAAUACAUGGGGAUUGAGCUUGCACUAAGCUCACAAGAUCACGGACUGUCCGGGAGUCUGUUCUGGAACUUCUCUGCCAGAUAUUGUGCAACUGCAGGGUUGUCAUUCUCACACACUUCCUGGGUGCUUUUGUUCUGCUGAUGAGCCCCGCCAUUGAUCCUGUCCUUCCUGCUGCUAUUCCUGCUAGAACUGGAGUCGGCAUCAGACAAGUUGAGGCCAUGAAACACCAGGAGGUUUGAUUUGGCUCAGACGGUACUUGUCUGCUGCAUGAAGCGACGUGGCGGGGAGCACCUCAGCCUGCAAUCAUGGAUCCUGCUCGGCUCCCCACCUCUAGGUUUACGUCCACAUGUUUUCAGCCCAGCAAUAAUGAAAAAAUAGUAGAAAUAUAUUAGUAUUAUAGAGGUUUCCUUCAUGAUCCUCUUUUCCUUGUUACCACUUACCAGUUGUGCUAUGCAUAUAAUCCUGGGUUUGUGCUAUACUUAAUUCAGCAUUUGUUCAAGCUUAGUUUUCUGCCACUUGCACGCUAGGGAUGCUUGUUGCCAAAUAUAAUUGUUAAUAUAUAUGAUACGUCUUUUCAGGCUUGUCAUGACGGCUGUGCUACUAUUUAUUGAUGAGGAUGUGAAUCUGGUAGAAACUAGGACUAUUUAGAGCUUGUCAUCAACAUCUCACAUGUGGCCAGGGAAUCCCAAUGAUGCAGUUGGUUAACUUGUCGCACACAUGUUUCAACAUCUGGCUCCUAAUGAACACUUAACACGAGGAACCGGUGAGAGUACAUUCCAGUCUUCCAGAAAUUCUGAAACAAGACGGUUCAUUUGUUCUGUAGGAGCUUAUCUGGUGCCUGGGUGUUGAUUGUAACCAUCAGGCAGAACUGACCUUGUGGUGUACAUUGUAAUUUCAUGCGUUUUGGUAUUGCAACGCCAUCUGUCGAGAUUUGGUUAACGCUGGACAUCUUGGUGUGGUAUGCGCGAACGCUGACAUCUUGCACUUAUAUCGCGGUGUUGUAUUUUGAUUCA